CCAGCCUCUGCACAGCCUGGGCCCCAGGCGGGCCAAACCCACAGCCACAGCUCUGGCUGCGGGGUGGGGUCUCCAGGGUAAGGAGACAGGGAGCUGACCCUGGAAGACAACCCAGGAAAAAAGAACAGGAGAAGGAGGAGGGGGGAGAAAAACACAAAGGGAAAGUUUCCCAUGAAAAUAUUUUAUUUUCUUUGAGAACAGGAUACACCUGCAGGGCUUCUCGCCCAGUCGGCCUCUCCCCGCCCUGGCAGUGCCACAUUUCUGGACCAACGGGGCCCUCUGCCGGCCAGGACGCUGCGCGCCGGCGCCUGGUCCAGGGGAGAGGGAACAGGUGACGACGGGUGGAGGGCGGCAGCCCGGGAACGGCCGCAGGGCACGCAGGACAGGGACUGGGCAGGACGCGAGGGUGGCCUCGGCUCCAGGAGUGGCACGGGGUAAGGAGGCGGGGAGACUGGGGAGAUCCGGAGGGCUGCCCACACGAUGCCACCCAGACCCCGGUGUGCCCAUCUGCAGAGUACAGCGAGGGUCCCCAAAGCUCGCCCGUCUGGACAUCCCAGAUCUGGGAGCGAGGAACGAGGAUGGGCAGGAAGGAACGUCGGAGAGAGACGAGCCCAAACCACACUAACUGCUGCUGCGGAGAAGCGCGCAGGACAGCGACCCUGGAGGCGGCGGGAGGCAGCAUUCACGGCUGGGCUGGGCCCUGCGCACCGGAGAGGUCCCACAGACGCGCUCCCGCGGGCCGGGGCCCGAGCGAACGUCAGAAGCAAAGCGCAAGAAAAAUAAAAUUCCUCCAGUCUGGAGUUUUUUUUUCCCUUUGGGGCUCAGAGCAAGGAACAUCUGGAUUUUGGAGGUGAACUAGAGGCUGAGGUCACUGCCAGCGCUGAUCCUCGGGUGACCUCCUUCUCAGAACCUCUGUACUGUGAGAACUGGACAAAGGAGUCUUGGCGCUGCUAGAGGCAAGAGGAGUUGCCAGGGACACGGAGGAGAGAUGACGCAGAGCCACUGCUAAAGCAAGUCAGUGUCCGAGAACCGAAAACCAAAAUUAAAACAGGUAACACGAAUUACCAGACACAGGAUGGGGUCAAGGAGAAACCUUAGAAACCCCUGAGCCAAGGGUUCUCCAUGUCAACAGCCACAGACCAGGGAGGAGAGCACUGCUCUGGGGUCCAGGCUGUGGGAUAAGUGUCCACGAAAUGCCAGCCUUCGGAUGACACUAGAAGCUCCAUGGGCCCACUAGGCCAGGGCUGCCAGAGCCCUCAAGUCCUGGGCCUGAAGGGGAGAGCCCAGCUCCCUAUCAGACAUCUGUACUCAGAGUUGCUGCUUCUGGGCACAAUGACCCAGAGUCUGGGAGUCUGAGCACCCCCCAAAGGCUGGGCUAGUGGGCUCUGAGGAUCUACUGCUUUGUGACCUGUGUCAGGACAGUGCUGUGACGCAAAACAGGAGGGCCAAAGAUGUACCCUGACAGUGGCCCGUAGAGCAGGACAUAUCCUUGGGCUCUCACCUCUCUUAAAAGGCCACCCAGGUGAGCAUACCCCAUCUUUCCUGGGGACCUGGGUGCUUGGCUGGGUGAGAAGAGGGUGGGGAGAAGCUGGGGCCUGAGCAAAUCACUUCCUCUCUGGGCCUCAGUUUCCCCAUCUGAGACCCAUCCAACUCCAGGGAGUCGUGUUUCUAAGUUGUAAUGUCACACUGUAGAAACCUCUGCCCAUAGUUCUGCCUCUCUGUGGGUGUGACCAGCCUCACAUCAUUCCCCACUCCGGGGACUCUUCCUGUGGGAGGGGGCCCUCCAAUGCCCUCAUCUGCUCACACCACACUCGGCCAUCUCACCAACAGGGCUGGCACAGCAAAGAGAACACCAACCAAAGCAGCCCCAGCCCACCUGGACUGCAGGACUUGGGGACACCCUGUCAUCCCCACCUCCGAGGGCCUCAACACAGCCCCCAGGGCCUCCACCUGAAGGGCUGGCUCCCACACCCGGGAAGUGUGAGGCAUGGGGUGAGGGGACGCAAAGUGAUGACAUGUUUAAAGGCACAGAGAUUACGUCCAAAAAAAUGAAGUGUGAGGUUGUAAAUGUGUGUCUGGAAGGCGCUGUAGGCCUUAUAGAGUUCCAUUCUGUGGGGCGUGGAGGGUUCUCUUCUGGCCACCCAGAAAGUCCCAAGGAAAGAGGCGGCCAGCUGAGGUUCCAGCCAGUGACUGGCAGGGCUAUAGUUGGCAAAAAGGGGACUGGAGAGAUGAGCACCAUCUGUGGAAGGGGAAGGAAGACUGGGGUUCUGCUUUCACUGGGGGCUGUCAGCUCAUAGCAGCUUGGGGGGCUAUCCCAGCCAGACUGAGUGGCCCUAUGGCACCUGAUUUUGAGUGCUAAGCCUCCCCCAGGUAUCAGCAGGGGAGGAAUUCUGAGAGACCCCUUCAGUCCAGGGAGUGAGAACCAAGGUCUAUAGGAGGACCAGACUUUGCCGGGCCAUGCAACAUGGGAGUGGAGUGGAGGGGGGGUUGGGGGGGGCAGUGCCCGGUGCAGAGUGACGUUGGGAAUACCCCUGAGGGUCUGGGAGAGGCUGCCCUUGCCCCCUGUGCCUGGGGUGACGGCAGCAACUGAGGUGGUGCCACCAGCUACCCCCACCCCAGCUGGACCUGGGGACACAGGUUCCCUCACCCAGGAGUCUCCCAGGCCUCAUACCUUCCCAUCAGGUCUGACCUCCUCACCCCGCCCCUGCCUGCAUUCCCAUCUCCUCCAUGGCCAAGGUGGCCCUACUGCCUACAGACCUCAAGGCGCCCAUGCAGUCUGGACCUCUUUGGAGGGGGCCAGGUGCUUCCCACCUCUGUGUCCACAACUCCUGCCUCCCCCACACCCAGCCCCAGCCCACCUUUGCAGCUUCUGGUCACCUGCAACACCUCCCCUGGCCAUCCCACGUUGGCCUCGCCUCACUGUGUCUGCCCAGCGUGGAGAAGGAAGGUAAAUUAACGUGGAACAGCCACUGACAGACCAGCACCUGGUUCAGUUGACCCUGGAUGGUAAACUGAGGCCUAGAGAACUCGGCAAAUUAGCUCAAAGGACACAAAGCAAGUGGGGGUGGGGCAGUGGCAAACACAUGAUCCCAGUCUCCUGCUUUCACCAGCUAAGCCACCUCCAGAUAAUCUUGCUGGCCUCAGCACAGCAUGAGGAGGGUGUGUUAUCCAAGGAGGUCAGAGCUUUUUCUUCCAGCAUAGCAUGCUCUGGCCAAUGGCAAAGUGGCCCCGUGUUUCUGUUAGAGAAACCUCGGCUUGGGGCUUUUUUUAUUCCCCCUGCCGUGGCCACCCAAGCCUGCUUGGCACAGGCCAGCUUUCUGGGAAAGGACAUCCAGAGUAUGAGGCAGGACAAGCUGACACUAAUAAGGGGGCUGCAGCCACCCUGUGCAGCAUGAGGGAAAGCAAGGAGUGGUCCAGGCUGGGCUGCGUCUCUACCCUGUACAUGUUCCUAACCAGAGUUAUGGCAGUGCUCUCCAAGGGGCUGAUGGGCACAGCUCCAAGAGGACCUCAUCAGCGCCAGGGAGGGGUGUGUACUGUGAAACAAAGCCCACCCCGAGACAGGAAAGACAAGGGUGGUAGGUUGUGACGGCUCACUGGCACUUUCGCAAACAUCCAACUUCAUGGAGACCUUGGCGCUGUGAACUGCCAGAAUCAUGCACAGCAGUGGGUCCUGAGAAUGUUGACACCCAGCCAUGCAGAGGGGGCUACCCAGGUCUCAGCAGAACAGCAAACUCCUGCAAAGCUGGGGGUGCCCACCAUGACCCCAAGCUGGGCAAGGGCAGCCCACCUCCCUGGGCCAGGCCCACCCGACAUCUUUAAGGCCUAGUUUGGAUGCAGAAGCAAGGCCUCAAUUGUCAAUUCAGUGGCUUUCCCAGUCGCCUCCUCCCAGGGCCAGAGACAGAGACCGAACGCACAGAGGACCGCCUUCCCAGCUGAUGCCCACCCACUCCUCAGCCACUCAGGCCUCAGUUGCCCAGCCAACAGCAUGAUGAGAAUGAGGUUUGGGGAGGAUCUAGGAGGGCCAGACUGGGGAGCUUGCGCUGCCCAGAUGCUGCCCAGAACAGGGAGUGGUUCUCUCAGGUGGUCUGGAAGGAGUGGGUGAGCAGCUGCUUAUCAGAAAACAUUGCCUAAUUGGGGCCUAAUUGGGAAGGUUUAUGGGGCCAGUAAGGGGGGCUCCUUGGGGAGAUGGUGAAAGCCACUCAUGAGUCAUUUGAAACUGAGCCGGACAAAGAGCUCAAGGAGAAACGAUCCCACCCAGCCUGCUAGCCAUGGGUAGAAUGAGCUCAUGGGCUCUGGGAUGCACAUGCGUGCAUGUGUGUGCACGUGUGUGUGUGUGAGAGAGAGAGAGGGAGGGGAGGGGAGGAGAAGAGAGGAGCUGGUACUCAUACAGCUGGUACUCAGAAGCUGAGCCCUGCAGAGCCUCCACUGCGGGCCCCAUCACUGCAUGGCCAGACUGCCCCCUGCAGGUCGGGGAGGGAAGGGCCCAGUAUCUCAGCCAGCAUCCUGGCUUAGCAUCCUCACCCAGCAUCCAGGCCAGCAUAAACAUACCUUCUCUGCAGUGCCCAGCACAGGACCUGUCCUGGGACAGAUGCCAAAUGGACAUGGAGCUUAUUCUUCACAGUGGGACACCAUCUGUUCACACCACUUCAUCCUCUGUGAGAUGUGUGUUGGAGACUUGGAUGCAUAAUAAACAUUUUAACAUGUUUAUUCAAAUGUUUAAAACUUGUUUUGAAAGAAAUGUAGAUUCACAUGCAAUUGUGAAAAAUAAUAAGAGACUCUUUGUACCCUUCACCGGGCUUCCCCUAAUGGACAAUAUGACAGCCAGGAAACUGACAUUGACAAAAUGCAUCGACCUUGCUACAUGAACUCAUCUGUGUGCAUGUGUGUUUAGUUCUAUGCACUUUUAUCACACAUGGAAGUUCAUUUGUCCACCACAGUCACACUGAACAUCUCCAUCACUCAUGGAGAUCCCUUAUGCUGCCCUGUUAUAGCCACACACCCCUGGCGUCUACUAAUCCACUCUCCAUCUAUCAUUUUGUCAGUUCAGGAAUGCUAUAUACACGGAAUCAUACAGUAACCUUUGGGGAUUGGCUUUUGCACUAAGCAAAAUUUCCUGGAGAUCCAUUCAGGUUGUCAAGUGUAUCAACAGCCCCUUCCUUUUGAUUGCUUCAUAGGAUUCUACUGUAUGGAUAUACCAUUCACACACUGAGGGACAUCUGGGCUGUGUCCAGUUUCUGGUUAUUAUGAAUAAAACUGCUGUUAACAUUUGUGUA
Long non-coding RNA from Globicephala melas (long-finned pilot whale), 5273 nucleotides. RefSeq lists it as uncharacterized. The record is from RefSeq and is a predicted model, not a curated record. Lineage: Eukaryota; Metazoa; Chordata; Mammalia; Artiodactyla; Delphinidae.